This 398-nucleotide ribosomal RNA is filed under the name uncultured bacterium. RNAcentral's name for it is "bacterial SSU rRNA". It matches the Rfam family "Bacterial small subunit ribosomal RNA", at positions 30 to 431 of the family's 1533-position model. The record is from RNAcentral.
AUUGAACGCUGGCGGCAUGCCUUACACAUGCAAGUCGAACGGCAGCACGGGAGCAAUCCUGGUGGCGAGUGGCGAACGGGUGAGUAAUAUAUCGGAACGUGCCCAGUAGUGGGGGAUAGCCCGGCGAAAGCCGGAUUAAUACCGCAUACGACCUGAGGGUGAAAGCGGGGGAUCGCAAGACCUCGCGCUAUUGGAGCGGCCGAUAUCAGAUUAGCUAGUUGGUGGGGUAAAGGCCUACCAAGGCUACGAUCUGUAGUUGGUCUGAGAGGACGACCAGCCACACUGGGACUGAGACACGGCCCAGACUCCUACGGGAGGCAGCAGUGGGGAAUUUUGGACAAUGGGCGCAAGCCUGAUCCAGCAAUGCCGCGUGCAGGAAGAAGGCCUCGGUUGUAACU